Molecule: ribosomal RNA, 1004 nt
Filed under: Microbacterium oxydans
Lineage: Bacteria; Bacillati; Actinomycetota; Actinomycetes; Micrococcales; Microbacteriaceae
Description: bacterial SSU rRNA
Rfam family: Bacterial small subunit ribosomal RNA
Source: RNAcentral
AAAGGACGGUACCUGCAGAAAAAGCGCCGGCUAACUACGUGCCAGCAGCCGCGGUAAUACGUAGGGCGCAAGCGUUAUCCGGAAUUAUUGGGCGUAAAGAGCUCGUAGGCGGUUUGUCGCGUCUGCUGUGAAAUCCGGAGGCUCAACCUCCGGCCUGCAGUGGGUACGGGCAGACUAGAGUGCGGUAGGGGAGAUUGGAAUUCCUGGUGUAGCGGUGGAAUGCGCAGAUAUCAGGAGGAACACCGAUGGCGAAGGCAGAUCUCUGGGCCGUAACUGACGCUGAGGAGCGAAAGGGUGGGGAGCAAACAGGCUUAGAUACCCUGGUAGUCCACCCCGUAAACGUUGGGAACUAGUUGUGGGGUCCAUUCCACGGAUUCCGUGACGCAGCUAACGCAUUAAGUUCCCCGCCUGGGGAGUACGGCCGCAAGGCUAAAACUCAAAGGAAUUGACGGGGACCCGCACAAGCGGCGGAGCAUGCGGAUUAAUUCGAUGCAACGCGAAGAACCUUACCAAGGCUUGACAUAUACGAGAACGGGCCAGAAAUGGUCAACUCUUUGGACACUCGUAAACAGGUGGUGCAUGGUUGUCGUCAGCUCGUGUCGUGAGAUGUUGGGUUAAGUCCCGCAACGAGCGCAACCCUCGUUCUAUGUUGCCAGCACGUAAUGGUGGGAACUCAUGGGAUACUGCCGGGGUCAACUCGGAGGAAGGUGGGGAUGACGUCAAAUCAUCAUGCCCCUUAUGUCUUGGGCUUCACGCAUGCUACAAUGGCCGGUACAAAGGGCUGCAAUACCGCGAGGUGGAGCGAAUCCCAAAAAGCCGGUCCCAGUUCGGAUUGAGGUCUGCAACUCGACCUCAUGAAGUCGGAGUCGCUAGUAAUCGCAGAUCAGCAACGCUGCGGUGAAUACGUUCCCGGGUCUUGUACACACCGCCCGUCAAGUCAUGAAAGUCGGUAACACCUGAAGCCGGUGGCCUAACCCUUGUGGAGGGAGCCGUCGAAGGUAUAC